Molecule: transfer RNA, 74 nt
Filed under: Cucumis melo (muskmelon)
Lineage: Eukaryota; Viridiplantae; Streptophyta; Magnoliopsida; Cucurbitales; Cucurbitaceae
Rfam family: tRNA
About the family: Transfer RNA (tRNA) molecules are approximately 80 nucleotides in length. Their secondary structure includes four short double-helical elements and three loops (D, anti-codon, and T loops). Further hydrogen bonds mediate the characteristic L-shaped molecular structure. tRNAs have two regions of fundamental functional importance: the anti-codon, which is responsible for specific mRNA codon recognition, and the 3' end, to which the tRNAs corresponding amino acid is attached (by aminoacyl-tRNA synthetases). tRNAs cope with the degeneracy of the genetic code in two manners: having more than one tRNA (with a specific anti-codon) for a particular amino acid; and 'wobble' base-pairing, i.e. permitting non-standard base-pairing at the 3rd anti-codon position.
Source: Rfam by way of RNAcentral
AGGAUUGUAGUUCAAUUGGUCAGAGCACUGCCCUGUCAAGGCAGAAGCUGCAGGUUUAAGCCCCGUUAGUCUCA